RNAcentral lists this non-coding RNA (178 nucleotides) under Lysinibacillus sphaericus. The record is from RNAcentral. Lineage: Bacteria; Bacillati; Bacillota; Bacilli; Caryophanales; Bacillaceae.
UUGUGUUCGUUUUAUAUAGGUGCUACUAUAUGUAGUUUAAAAGGGAAGUUCGGCACAAUUCCGACGCUGUCCCCGCAACUGUGAAGCUGACAAUGAUUACAACCACUGUGCAUUCGCAUGGGAAGGGAAUCAGAGGAUGAAGCAAAGCCAGGAGACCUGCCUCUAUAAAACAAUUAAU